AAUUAGUCAAACUCUGCGUAAGCGUCGCCGGAUUAGGGCUUCCAUGUUACUUUCUCUUCCAUAACUCAACCUUGCCGUCUUGGCUUUGCAGAGUCUCAUCUCUUCGCCUCCACUUAUGUAUUAAUUCUGCCAUAAUAGUUAAUCCCAUUGGAUCCAGAUUCCAUGUCAACGUCUCCCUUUCCUCAGUCUCAAAUCUAUAAAUAUGAGAUGCUGUUGUUUCGCACUCCGCGUUUGAGGCUCUCCGCGUCGAAUGAUCUGGCCAGUUCAUUGUUGUCAGUUUACUCUGUCUUUGGGACUCGAAAAACAUAAAGAAGCAUGGUGAAUUCAUGGGAAUCACUCUACUCCUUCUUGAUGAGAAGAAUUUGGUGAUACAUGGAUUCAUCCUGCUGGUCCCGCUCCUGACUACCGUCCCUCUUUUCGAGGGGGUUCAGUCGUGACCUUAACUGGAGAAAGGAAGGAGCUGUCGUACCAGUCAAAAAUCAGGGACACAUAUGUGGAAGUUAUUGGGCACUCACGGUGGUUGGAGCGGUGGACGGUAUAAACAAGAUCAAGACCGGAGAAUUGAUAUAUUUUUGGGAACGAGAAUUCAUAGACUGCUACAGAGAGGACGGCAGCGGUGUAUGUGAUGGAGUUUCACAUCUUGAGCUCGAGAGUCUGCAAACCUGACUCAUCACAUCUCACUGCCUACGGUGGUCCUCUUGAAACAUUAAUCUCUGCAUUUACAUCUUCAGCACCACUCCUCCCACUAUCUCGAAUUAACUCGGCCGUAUCAUCCUCCAAUGUAACCGAUUGAAGCUCCAUCUAUAAAUGGCUUCGUUGCUUGGGAUUAAGAGUCACAUCGAAAUGAAAUCCCAAAGAUCUCUCUCUCUCUAUCAAGCAGCAAAUCCAUUAAUGGCGAAUUCGUUUACUCUGCUUGGUGAGGUCAGUUCUAUCAAGAGCACAAAAUGAUAGGACACACUGAACACAACAUGUUAUGCUGUGUCUAGAAAGGGAUGUGAAUUUGAGUAUCAGUCUGUUGGCUUAGCUUUUUCGCAUUUCAUAACAAACUCGAAAUCUACGGCUCUGAGCCAAAACUUUUCUUGGUCAAUAGCAUCAGUCCCUAAGUUUCUGGAGGCUGCCUAUUUCUCAACGGGACAUCUGGAACCCACAUAUACUUUGACUUAAAAUAAAAUAAAACAAUAAUAAAUAUUUUUCAUAUUUCUCGGUCGCAGUUGUUUCUCUUUUUUUUUUUUUAUAUAUAACUCUAGCUUUGUUCCCUCUUAUCUCCAGAAUCUGAAGAAACAACACCAGAGCCAGUCAUCAUCUCUAAUCAAGAGCCAAGAUUGCCAAAUACCUCUGGUCUAGAGUCAUGAAUACCACUGGACAUUCUCACAUCAACUCUCCAUAUGCUGCAACCAUAUUCACUAACAAGGGAAAAAAACAUAUUUCAUCACAGUUUUUCUACAGAAUCUUGUGUUUAAGAUAUUUGGGAAUGAGUUUAGAUAAAUGUACAAGCUUAAGCCUGAUAACUGAGGAGUAUGUCCUACCACCAUCGCCUUGGCACCAACAGCUUCAAAAGAGUCUCAGAGAAUUUUACUUACCUGAUUAGAAAAAUACUCAUAAAAGAUAGUCAAUCCAAGCUGAUGGUUGUAUAAUAUUUUCAGGAUUGUGGUGACUCCAAUUUAAAUUCAUGUUCAAUUUGAUAGUCAUCCAGAUCAGAGGUCUCUCUUGAGUAAACUCUGCUCCAAACCACACUGUCAAAUUGUAAGUGUGGAUUGAUGACAUGGAGAUGGGAUGAUGGAUGAUGUGAAAGUUGGCUCAAAGAAGAGUGCAAGUUGGCUCACGAGAAGAGCAUGAAGGAUCCACUAUUUAAAGGAGUCCCUAAGCAAGAAUAAUUUAUAAGAGCUGUCUAGAGUUUAGAUCAAUCAAGUGUUAAAGGGUGAGGUGAGAGUACUCCAUCAUAAACCUCUCAAGGUUCUUGAGUGCUUGUAAACACAGUUCUAUUUCUAAUAUAGUUAUUAUUUCAUCUUUA
Long non-coding RNA from Brassica napus (rape), 2011 nucleotides. RefSeq lists it as uncharacterized. The record is from RefSeq and is a predicted model, not a curated record. The transcript is spliced from 6 exons. NCBI's taxonomy places the organism in Eukaryota, Viridiplantae, Streptophyta, Magnoliopsida, Brassicales, Brassicaceae.